RNAcentral lists this ribosomal RNA (492 nucleotides) under uncultured bacterium. RNAcentral describes it as "partial 16S ribosomal RNA". It matches the Rfam family "Bacterial small subunit ribosomal RNA", at positions 29 to 523 of the family's 1533-position model. The record is from RNAcentral.
AUUGAACGCUGGCGGCAGGCCUAACACAUGCAAGUCGAGCGAACCUAGCUUGCUAGGUGAGCGGCGAACGGGUGAGUAACACGUAGGAAUCUGCCCGAUAGUGGGGGACAACGUCUCGAAAGGGACGCUAAUACCGCAUACGCCCUAAGGGGGAAGGCAGGGGAUCUUCGGACAUUGCGCUAUCGGAUGAGCCUGCGUCGGAUUAGCUAGGUGGCGGGGUAAAGGCUCACCAAGACGACGAUCCGUAGCUGGUCCGAGAGGAUGAUCAGCCACACCGGAACUGAGAGACGGUCCGGACUCCUACGGGAGGCAGCAGUGGGGAAUAUUGGACAAUGGGAGCAACCCUGAUCCAGCCAUGCCGCGUGUGUUAAGAAGGCCUUCGGGUUGUAAAGCACUUUAAGCGGGGAGGAAAGUUCGCUGGCUAAUAUCCAGCGGAAUUGACGUUACCCGCAGAAUAAGCACCGGCUAACUCCGUGCCAGCCGCCGCCGUAA